UCUCCUCUUCGCCUUCGUCUUCUACCUUCUCAUCAUCGAACGCGAGACGCAGAGAUUCGAGACUGUUCAGUAUCCAUACGCCUCCGAUUUCAAUAACUCUGCAGCUUAACUCCACCUCACCCCUUUUAAUCCACUCCUUCCACUUCAAUUGUUUAAUCAAUACACCUCUUCGUAUUCUAUCGUACCUGGCUUAAUCCUCACCUAUAAAUACCGCAUCUCACCAUCUUACGAUGCACACCUCAGAUCAGACGAAAUUUAGCAGUAAACUCUUUUCUAGCAACCGAUUUCGAUGGCGUUCACUCUUCUUAACGACUUGAGAGCUGGCCGAGGCUCCAAUACUGCCGAGGUCCGUCUGCUGAGGCUUUGGGAGGCUAGGAAUAUCAACAAGGGCGGAGAGCUUAUGAGUCUUGAGAAAGUAGAUAUAUGACAUGAAUAGGGUUCUUCGAUAGAUCCAAGCUGGUGAGUAGGAAAAAAAGUAAUUGAAACCAGAAACGGUGAGAAACAAGAGAGACAAAGUCAUACCAUUAAAUCAGGAAAAAAAACCUCAAAAAGACGCAAACGUGGAGAAGAAACCACAACUUUCUCUUGUCAAAGAAGAAGAAUAUAAAAACAUUAUUGGCUUCCAUGGUGAAAACUUGGGUCCUAAACAUCAGUAAGCUCGAGUCAAAAGCUUUUAGAGGAACAUCCACAACACUUUGAUAGACAGGAUGCAUAUGAAUAUAUGGUGAAUUGCAAGAGGUUGCAUCAGGUACAAAGAAGCAAGUGGCAAGCAAAAGAGUUAUAACAAUGGAGGACACCUCAAAGAUGAAUGGUGAAUCUCAGGAAGCUACACAGCCUACCUAAUCAACAAACCUUUUGUUUGUGUUGUUUCUUCAGGGGAGAAAAGACCUUUAACUGUCCCAAAGGGACCAAACUUCCAUUGCAUUCAUGUACCUAAGAGCUGUUGUACAAAUAGAGUGGCAUUACUUGUCUAGAAUCUCUGGACUUCACACGGGAGUUUUGUAAUUUGGUUUGAUCUUUGAGAAGUAACAGAAGUGAGUUGUUUUUAGUGUGUAUAAAAAAACACAUGCUCAUCGUUAGUAUUAACGAGCUCAGAGGAGAACUUGUAGUGUUGAAAGCUAAGAAAAACUUGAGAGAUUCUAA
Molecule: long non-coding RNA, 1143 nt
Organism: Brassica napus (rape)
Lineage: Eukaryota; Viridiplantae; Streptophyta; Magnoliopsida; Brassicales; Brassicaceae
Exons: 4
Source: RefSeq, a predicted model, not a curated record